AAGGGAAGGCGGGCGUAUUCCAAAUCUGUUUAAAAAACGAACAGAGAAGCACUGGCACUGCGCCAAACCUGACCAAUACUUGAAGUGUUGGCGCGGCGCAUCCCCCCCAAGUGGCGCGCCGAUAAAGGUGCUCAGGGACCGCGUACCUUUGUUUUACUCCUAAUGGUCUUAACCCGGAUUCCCCCCCCAGAACCCGG
Molecule: small RNA, 197 nt
Filed under: Pseudomonas sp. URMO17WK12:I7
Lineage: Bacteria; Pseudomonadati; Pseudomonadota; Gammaproteobacteria; Pseudomonadales; Pseudomonadaceae
Also listed under: 1 other name
Description: Pseudomonas sRNA P16
Rfam family: RgsA sRNA
About the family: P16 sRNA appears to be conserved across several Pseudomonas species and Azotobacter vinelandii. In these species it is consistently located downstream of a predicted TatD deoxyribonuclease gene.
Source: RNAcentral